AUGAGUUGCUUAUUCUGGAACUGUCGAGGGGCAGGGAACUCUCGUACAGUUCGUGACCUUCAGGCUCUUUGUCGAGCACAUUCCCCGAAACUGGUGUUUUUAUGUGAAACUAGACAGCCAAAACAGAAAAUGGAGAGAGUACGUAACAGACUUGGACUGAAGGGUUUUGAUGGUGUAAGUAGUCAAGGAAAAAGUGGCGGCCUAGCCUUGUACUGGGAUGAAAAC
This 225-nucleotide ribosomal RNA is filed under the name Triticum aestivum (bread wheat). RNAcentral's name for it is "partial small subunit ribosomal RNA". Lineage: Eukaryota; Viridiplantae; Streptophyta; Magnoliopsida; Poales; Poaceae. The record is from RNAcentral.